Molecule: ribosomal RNA, 554 nt
Filed under: uncultured bacterium
Lineage: Bacteria
Description: bacterial SSU rRNA
Rfam family: Bacterial small subunit ribosomal RNA
Source: RNAcentral
AAUAGAUACCCGGGUAGUCCACGCCGUAAACGAUGGAUGCUAGCUGUACGAGGUAUCGACCCCUUGUGUAGCGAAGCUAACGCGUUAAGCAUCCCGCCUGUGGAGUACGAGCGCAAGCUUAAAACAUAAAGGAAUUGACGGGGACCCGCACAAGCGGUGGAGUGUGUUGUUUAAUUCGAAGGUAAACGAAGAACCUUACCCAGGCUUGACAUCCUGCUAAUUUCUCCGAAAGGAGAAAGUAUCUUCGGACCGCAGUGACAGGUGUUGCAUGGCCGUCGUCAGCUCGUGUCGUGAGAUGUUUGGUUAAGUCCAUCAACGAGCGCAACCCUUGUGGCUAGUUGGAUAUUUCUAGUCAGACCACCCUGGUAACGGGGAGGAAGGAGGGGAUGACGUCAGGUCGGUAUUGCCCUUACGUCUGGGGCUACAAACACGCUACAAUGGCCGGUACAAAGGGCAGCCAACCCGCGAGGGGGAGCAAAUCCCAUCAAAACCGGUCCCAGUUCGGAUUGCAGGCUGAAACUCGCCUGCAUGAAGCCGGAAUCGCUAGUAAUGGU